UGAGUUUCCUAUCAAUACAAUUCUAGCAUGGAUAAUAAACGAUUAUCAUGAACAAGGAAAUAUAAUAAUAAUCAAUUUAUUAUUGCCUCUAGGGCAUAUUUCCAACAGAGGAAGCCUUUGUAGAAGCUUUCAAUGCCAUCAGAAGCAAUGUGGAUACACAAACUUGGUUGGACAGCAUCUACAAAGUAAAAGAGAAAUGGGCAAGAUGUUACAUGAGGAAUGCUUACACUAUAGGCAUGAGAAGCACACAAUUAAGUGAGAGCUUGAACAGUGACUUGAAAGACCAUCUAAAGUCUGAUCUUGACAUCCUUCGGUUUUUCAAGCAUGUAGAGAGGGCUGUGCAAGAGAAAAGAGAUAACGAGGUAAAUGAGGAAUACGAGUCUAGGAAAAAAUUACCUAGAGUCAGAAUGAGGACUCCUAUGGUAAUACAAGCGAGCAAGGUUUACACACCACGCAUAUUUGAAGAUUUUCAGAAUGAAUAUGAAAGAUCCAUCUCAGCAUACAUCAAGCCAUCGAUGGAACACAAUGCAUAUAUUGUUGCAAUUGCAAGUCUUGACCCAGAAUUCACAUAUGAAGAAGAGUGCAAAGUUGUAGUUGCUUAUGAAGAGCAAAAAGUUUUCUGCGAUUGUAAGCAAUUUGAAAGAGUUGGUAUAUUGUGUAGUCAUGCUUUGAAAGCACUUGAUGUCAUGAAUAUUAAGUACCUUCCAGGACACUAUAUUUUGAAGCGAUGGACUCGAGAAGCGCGAAGCGGCACUAUACAAAACAGCCAUGGAAACAUUGUUUUGGAAGAUCCUAGAUCAGAAGAUAGACAACAGUUGAAGUUUUUCAUGCACGAGUUCCUUGGCAUAGCUUCACAGGCAGUUACAUCAGAAGAGUGUAUCAAACUAGUAGAUGAUGCUUUGAAGAAUCUUAGGAAGCAAGUUGAAGAGAAAGCUCAUACUACUACGUGCAGAACUGAAGAUAUAUCUAAAGAACCAGACGAUUGUUUAAAGGAUGCUUGCCUAAAGAAAAAGGAAAUUCCAAAGAAAAAAUCAAGAAGAAAGAAAUCAUGGCUUGACAAUCAGCACCCUAAUAAAAAGAAGAAGGAGACAACUAAAGCGGUACCCAAAAAUCAAAAUCAUUCUGUAAAUCUCUUGCACAUGUCUAACUGGACUACUUAUUAAAUAGAGUAAUAUAGUAACAACUCAACUAACAUUGGUUUUGUUUUGUUUUUAUUUUUGCAUAGGGAGGAAAGAAUGACAUUUCAGUAGAACAAUACCAAGCACCUAUAGAGUAAAUGGCUGGAACAAAUGCAAAUGGUUUGCAAGAAUAUGGGUACUAUGCUCAUUUACUGACGGUAUUUCCACCUACCACGUCUAAAAUUCAUAAAAUUCAUUGUUAAGCAAUAUGAUACUUCAUAUAAUCAGUUAUAUAUCCCUUAAUUUGCAGAGUGAAGCCGAUGAUCUUUGGAACUUACAAAACUAUCAUGGGAUAGGUUGAUGAAUAUGUGUUAUUUUGUCUUGCUAGAUCGACAGAUUAUGCAGAAGGAAUAUCUGAAUCAGCACACAUGGGAGCCAAUCUGUUGAGUGUUCAUUAUUUCACUGCAAUCGGUUUAGUCUCAGUUCACUCCUAGUUUCCGAAGACAGAACAAUCAGUUUAAUUUCGGUUUACUACAACAAUGAUCUGUUGAUUACUUAUCACUUUUAAAUAUUCUAGUGAGAUGGUUACAACUAUGUACCACAAUAGGUUUUUAUCUCUCCAUGUACGGUGUACAAUCAUAUACAACAUGGACUGCUAGUGGCACUAUUUGAUCAUCAGCACAAGCACUAAUUCUUCAGGUAGUGAUCUGAAUAACUGGACAGAGACGCAAGUGACCACUGUCACAACAUAACUGUAAUUAAACUCAGCACACAUGCAUGUACUCUCUACUGGCUAUUGACUAACCAUAUUGCCAUGAAAGAUUAAUAGAUAGUCAAACAAGCACAUGUUCUCGAACUAAUGAUGAAAAAAAUGAAUAAAUUAGUUCUAAGUAAUUCACCUUGGGUUUUGCUAGUGGGGCUACGCCGGGCAGGAGGGCGCCGAGGUCGACCGUGCUGCUCCGAGACAUCACCGUCGUCCUAUUCCUCGUCGAGCUCGUCGGGGGAGACUCCAGCUUGCCGUUGUCGUCAGGCUCGUCGAUUUCGUCGUUGCUCUGCUGCUUGUGUAGUUCGUCGUCUCGCUGCUACUAGCAGCCAGAGACAUGUGGCGGUGCAGCAGCGGCGUAUUCGGUCGGCUCCCGCAGCAGUGCGCUCUCCGGCCAUCCCUUGCAGCUGCCGGUAGAAGCCAUGGGGCACGGCCGCACGGGGAUGGAUAAGAAGCAGCGCGCAGAGAGGCAGGGAUAUAGAGGGAGGGAAUCGCCAGAGCAGUUCGGGGCGAGCGAAUAUGGCCGGAGCAGCGGAGUGUACCUGGAUUUCGCUCGGCCGGAGCAGUGUUGUGGAUUGGGGAAAACAGUGGCCGAGCUUCUCUAGACGAAAGAGAUAAGAGAGAGAGAGAGUGGGGAAUGGUG
Molecule: long non-coding RNA, 2524 nt
Filed under: Triticum aestivum (bread wheat)
Lineage: Eukaryota; Viridiplantae; Streptophyta; Magnoliopsida; Poales; Poaceae
Description: long non-coding RNA (TAES_LNC001225)
Source: RNAcentral